AACGAACGCUGGCGGCAUGCCUAACACAUGCAAGUCGAACGAGACCUUCGGGUCUAGUGGCGCACGGGUGCGUAACGCGUGGGAACCUGCCCUUAGGUUCGGAAUAACUCCCCGAAAGGGGUGCUAAUACCGGAUAAUGUCUUCGGACCAAAGAUUUAUCGCCUUUGGAUGGGCCCGCGUUGGAUUAGCUAGUUGGUAGGGUAAAAGCCUACCAAGGCGACGAUCCAUAGCUGGUCUGAGAGGAUGAUCAGCCACACUGGGACUGAGACACGGCCCAGACUCCUACGGGAGGCAGCAGUGGGGAAUAUUGGACAAUGGGCGAAAGCCUGAUCCAGCGAUGCCGCGUGAGUGAUGAAGGCCUUAGGGUUGUAAAGCUCUUUUACCCGGGAUGAUAAUGACAGUACCGGGAGAAUAAGCUCCGGCUAACUCCGUG
Molecule: ribosomal RNA, 433 nt
Filed under: uncultured bacterium
Lineage: Bacteria
Description: partial 16S ribosomal RNA
Rfam family: Bacterial small subunit ribosomal RNA
Source: RNAcentral